This 253-nucleotide ribosomal RNA is filed under the name uncultured bacterium. RNAcentral describes it as "partial 16S ribosomal RNA". It matches the Rfam family "Bacterial small subunit ribosomal RNA", at positions 524 to 776 of the family's 1533-position model. The record is from RNAcentral.
UACGGAGGGUGCAAACGUUGCUCGGAAUCAUUGGGCGUAAAGCGCACGUAGGCGGCCGAUUAAGUCGGGUGUGAAAGCCCUGGGCUCAACCCAGGAAGUGCACUCGAAACUGACCGGCUUGAAUAUGGAAGAGGGUCGCGGAAUUCCUGGUGUAGAGGUGAAAUUCGUAGAUAUCAGGAGGAACACCAGUGGCGAAGGCGGCUUUCUGGACGGUAACUGACGCUGAGACGCGAAAGCGUGGGGAGCAAACAGG